ACCCUUUUAGCUCAAUGGUUGAGCGCUGCCACAGGUCGGUGGUUCGAGCCCACCAGGGCACA
This 62-nucleotide transfer RNA is filed under the name Phytophthora infestans T30-4. RNAcentral describes it as "tRNA-Ser". The record is from RNAcentral. Lineage: Eukaryota; Oomycota; Peronosporomycetes; Peronosporales; Peronosporaceae.